RNAcentral lists this long non-coding RNA (975 nucleotides) under Chinchilla lanigera (long-tailed chinchilla). RNAcentral's name for it is "lncRNA (ENSCLAG00000022966.1)". Lineage: Eukaryota; Metazoa; Chordata; Mammalia; Rodentia; Chinchillidae. The record is from RNAcentral.
CAUUCUCCCAGUGUUGGGUACUGACCUGCAGCCUGCGUCGUCUUCCCUGGCAAGCCUCCCUCAUCUGGCCGCUUUCUGCUUCCUACAAAGUCAGGCCUGCAUUCCUGGGGUCCCCAGCCUCGCCCCACAGGAAGAUUGCCUGCCGUUCCCAGAAAACAGCACACAGUCUGGACCUCUGCAGCUCUCCUCUCCUUCCAAGGCUGCCUGGCAAUCUUCAUCACAUUUCCUGGCUCUGCUCCAGCAUCCCUUCCUCCUCACAGCCUUCCUCACACCCGCAAGAAGGCAGCUGCCCUGCGUGCUGCAAGCCGCCUGGCUGGGGCAUGCUUCCAUGGUGGCGUUUAUCAGCCAGCUUUCUCCUUGUGGACAAGGCUGGCCACUCAUCGAAAGCCCAGUCCUGACAGCCGUGGCUGUGUUCCCAGCAGGGCCCUGUGGGGACCAAGUUUGCAAUCCCCCAUGCUACACAGGCACUGGGUAAAAGGCAAUUACCUUGGGGCUUGAUGAUGAUUUCAAAUCCACGCCCCAGAACUUCAUUUAGCUUGCUAAAAUGAAAGAGAGCUCAGGGUGAUCCUCAGUGGUCCCCUUAGCCCUGCAUGCCUGCACCUUAGUCCUCCCUAGGUAAACACAGACUGAUUCUUGGGAACUCUAAGUAAUGUCCUUAAACGUCCUCCUGCUGCUGCAGUUUGGAUCUGGAGUGCUCUCCAAAGACCUGGCUCUGAAGGCAUGUUCACCAGCUUGUGGUGCUAUUGGGAGGUGGUCAAACCCUUAGGGGGUGGGGCCUAGAGGGAGUAGGUUAGGUCAUUGGGGGCAUGGCCUUGAAAAGAAUAUUGGGACCCUGAGUUUCUUCUCUGUCUUUUGCUGCCUGGCUUCCAUGAGGUGAAAAAGCCUCUACUAUCAUGUGCUCCCAUCACCAUGGGCUGCCUCAGGCCCAAAGCUACAGGGCUAAACAACCAGACAACCAUAGACUGAACUGUGAGC